ACUUUUCAAAGGCAUGUUUCAAUCUCGAGUGUGCCCUUCAGGUUUUGUGACUGGGAUGCCGAGGAUCACAAAACAAGGUGUGAAGUAACCAUGCAAAUCACUUGGUACCCUUAAUAAAUUACCCCUCAAUCGAUGUGCCGGUUAACCACACACGCUCCAUCGAUACUAUGAUAAAUAUUAAGUCACCCUUUACCUACCUUGUUAAGUCCAAGUUAGUGUGCCGGUUAACCACACACGCUCCACUAACGACUUAGACAAAGUGUAAAGUGUAAUUUCAUGGAUUAGCACCUUAUUCACAUUUUUCCUAAGUAACUAAGAUUGGGUAUUAUUAAGAGUUUAGUUACUUAGUAUUAUCAUUAAUACUUUUAAUGAAGGGAGAAUUCUAGUCCUGUCAAACCCGUUCGGCUAACGACCCUCCACCAGUCAAGCAAGCGGUGGGUGAGAGUGGACACCCAUUAAGUUGCCAUUUUAUAGGCAACAACCUUAUACCCACCUUAUAGACCGGCUUCGUGAAUGAGGCGUACUAGCGGUAAGACUGACUUUACUCUUAUACAUAUAUAUAUUAUUAACUUAUAAUAUUAUAAAGUAUAAGGGUUGAAUUUUAACUUUUAAAAUUCUAAGGGCUAACUUGGAAUUAAAGUAUUCAUAAGUGAAAACUUUACAAAUUCCAAAACUUGAGGGCAAGUUUUGAAACUAUUCAAAACUAAUUAAUUCCAUAACUUAUGUGUUUAAAGUAGUUUUAAUCCAAAAACUCUUCAAGUUCCAUAACUUGAGGACAAGUUAUGGAAGACUUUAAACUAAUAAAAGAAUUAACUUUUCUUUAUUUUAUAACUUAUGGAAUUAAUUAAGGUUACCCUUUUUUUUAUUUUAUUUUAUUUUAUUAAAUGAAGAGACUCUUGGUCCUCCAUAACUUGAGGACAAGUUAUGGAGUCAUAAAACCAUUUAAUUAGAACUAGACUCUUCAUUUUUGUAACCUUUGCCAAUUUUUAUGAGUUUUAUGAUUCUUAAAUGUGACUUUUCAUAUAACUUGAGGACAAGUUACAAAAACACAUUUUAGAAUCAAUUCUUAGAUUAAUUUGGAUUAAAACCAACUAUCACAUAAUUUUAUUCAUUAAUCUAAAUUCACUCAUAAAACAAGGUAACACAAAAAACUUUUGGUGAUCCAUAACUUAUUCUUAAGUUAUGGAAUCCUUUAAAACAUUAACACCAAAUUUUGUAACUCCAAAAAAACUUUGAAUAAAUUUUUUUUUAAAACCUUUUCAUAUCCAUAACUUAUGGAGGUUUCAAAAAAUAAAACUCUUUAGAUCAAACUUUUAAAACUAAUAAAAUAAUCAUAUUAUUUUAUCUUUUAUUAAAUUUGACCUAAUUCAACUCAUAAAGCAAAUUAUUCAAAUUUUACAAAUAAUUAGUUUUUCACAAGAACAAGUAAUUAUCUUAAAAUUUGACGAACUUCAUUUUUUUUUUCUUUUUUUUUCAACUUUGAAAAUAAAAUAUUUGCAUCAAUAUAACAGAAAACAACCCGUGGCUCUGAUACCACUGUUGGGUUUUGAGCAUUCUAACACUUCCUAAGUGUACAUGCAACCCUAAAUACCUUGGAUCUAUGUUUUCUCUAUUAUACAUGCAAAUAAGAACAUCCAAGGUAUUAUCCUAAUCUAGCAUACAAAAACUAUGAAUGUAACAAGAUAGAAUACAUACCUCUUGAUGUAGCUUGAUGUCUUCAAGCUUUAAGAGCUUAGCCCCAAUAGUGUGGAAGCCUCAAGUGGAAUCACAAAUCACCAAGACACCUUGGAAUACUUUAGAGAAUAUGAUUACUUGGUUCUCUCUAGUGAAAUUGGCUAGCCCUUCUUUAGUGUAUCCAUACUAGUGCCAAUUUCACCAACCAAGGACAUCUUUAUAUAGUAUGGAGACUAGGGUUAAACCCAUGACCUUUCAUUUCAUAUGAUCCAUGGGUUAAACACUCCAUGGACUAUCCAUGAAAGCUUAGCCCAACCUAAAUGAACUUGGCCCAUUCCAUAUAUAUAAGAGUCCAUAUUUAAUUAGUUCAUUUUGAUCACUUAAUUAAUUCUAAAUUAAUUCUUGAUCAAUACUAAUUAAAUAAUAUGAUUCCAUAUUAAUAUAUUAGAACUUAUAAUAUAUUAAUAUUAAUCAUAAAUAUACUAUUCUCAAAAGAUUAUCCAUAUAAAUUGUGUCGGUGAAGUGCAACCCAAAUGGACCAUGUCAGGUCGGGUCAAGUACAUACCAAACAUAGUUAUUGACUUAGACAUUAAUCCAACAGUCUCCCACUUGGAUACGUCUAAAACUAUUAUUGAGUAUGACUUCAAAACCUAACUGACAGUCAUAGCUCUUAAAGCCGUUGUAGAACUCUAAUCUUUGUCAACGAACUUGUCCACUAGAUAAGGGAUCAUAUAUUCCUCCAUUCUAGAUAUCAUAUGGACUGAGACAUGGAUUAUAAUUAUUCUCUCUGUCCAUUUGUUGUGUCCCGAUUUCCGAUUCAUGACGACAGACUGAUUGAACAAAUCAAAUCAGUCCUGGCUUGGCCAAGCACUCACAUGUGUCAUCAUUAAAUCAUCGAGGGGCCCACAGAUAUCGCUUUUAUCCUGAAAGUAAAAGGAAUGGAUAAACAUCGACUCAUAUGGCUUUUUCUGUUACUUUUUGAUUCAUACACAAUGGCACGUUUUAUAACAUCGAGUUACCAAUGCAUUUUCGUGCAAUCAAUGUACUAUCAACUCAUAGUAACAACUCAUAUCUCUAGGUUUGAAGAAUAUAAGAUAUUAUCGUCUCAUGAUCACUCGUGAUAAAAUCCAUGAAGUGAUUCAAAUGAGCGCGGGUUGAAUCCAAUACUCAGAACUUAUGAGCACUCAUGAGUGUUGUAGCACAACUUUGUCCACCAACUUGGACCUCUACAAGCCAACCCAUGACAGUCUUGAUUCAUAUCUACUUCCAACAUAUGACCGACUAUGGUUGGUUUGAAUAACUUAGUCAUUCCGGAAGAAUAACCUAGUUAUUAUGGAAGUCAAAACAUGCAAAGUGAAACAGAAGAAUAAAUGAAUCUAAUAUGGUAUCAAAACCUAUGAAUAUAAAUAAAACACAUUCUAUUUAUCACCAUACUGAUUACUCAUUAUUCAUUGUUUCGGUUUUAUCAACUUUAUACUUGAAUUAAAACACUAGUAAUCCCAUGCUCCAAGCAUGUACACUAUGUUUUUCUAAAAAAUAGUUUUGCCAUACACCAAGUAUGCACUCUAUAUUUGUCUACGAUCCUGACUUUUGUGUGAUAAACCAAUUGACCAAACUUUAAAUGAUUCUAAUUUCACACUCUCAAAUCGAAAUCUGUUAGAUUUUUAAACUUAAAUGCACUACCCUCUUGCAAUGAAUGUGUAUAAAGUCACAAAGACUUGUCAACAACCAUUACAGGUAUUCCAAUGAAGACAUACUCCAUGGACACAAAGCCUUAUGUUCAAAGUAUGCAUUGCUUUAAACAUGGUUCUUGCUCCAUGUUUUUUCUAAUCUUACACAGAUUGCUUCCAUCUGUGGUGACAACUCUGUAUUCCCAUUUUGACUAACACUUCUGAACAAGAGUUUCCUCUUUUCAGACUAUGUUAAUAUGGUCCUUCCAAUAUUAACAGUAUACUUACAACUGUCCUUAAGCAACCAAUCCUUGGUAAGACCUUAGAUUGUCCUUGACAAUUUCUUAAUCACUUUCGUCAUAUCCAAUUCUAGAUAUUUUCCUCCUUAAUCCCCCAAGGCAUUUGGGAAAUUCAGAAAGGACAAAUAUUAUAGCACAUGUAAUCGAUCUUGUACCCAAUGUAAAUGGGACACGAUUCAUGAUGUUUCACAUAAAGACAUGGUUCUAAACCAGUCUUUUGCCAUAAUAAUUUUUUGUUUGCCAUAUUCUCAAAUUUUUACUAGGAAAAGGGAUGUCGUAAUCAUAAUCGAAUUUUGAGAACGCAAUAUAUAAAAUUUUUCUUAAGUUGAACCAAUCCAACAUGAAAUUCAUCUAUAUAUUCUUGACUAAAGGUGAUUAAAACCUCAAUAUAAGCUCUUUAGAAUGAUUAUAAACUCAAUCAAAGUUUUUCAUAAUUGAAAUGAAGUGUAAUUUCCUCUCCCUUAAUUAUAGCAAAACAACUUUUUCUAACCCCUGCAACCUUAGGAAUUGAAACUUUUGUUUUCUAUAAUUAACAUUGCUAACUUGCAAUACUUACCAUAAUUAUCAUGCACCCACUAACAUGAUGAUUAUUAGCAUAACACUUAUGCUCCCACUAGCUUUGACAUGUACCCAGAAAUCAACUGGACUUCUAGAAAUCAAUACUUUACUUACUUUCUUACCCAAGUUCAGAUUUCUGAUACUAGAUUUCCUUGAUAAGACUUUAUCAAAAUCAUACACCUCUCUUUGAUAGCUCACAGGUGUGUCUAAAUAUUAUGACGAGGUAUGUCGUAAUCAUAAUGUUUAGACCUAUUGCCAUUCCCACAAUUGCUAUCUACUUAGUGAAAGACUUUCCUUACCAUCAUUUUCAUGAAUUGAAGAGAAACCUUAUGACACUUAGAUUUUAUGGUGUAAGUGUUCCUAUCCAUGUGAAUUUGUCAAAAUCAUAAUCACAAGACUAGGUUAGUGACAAAUCCUAACUCAUAUGGAUUGAACUUGUGCAAUCUUAACUUCUUGCCACCUGGCACCUCAAGGGCCUUCCAUUGCUUCCAAGUAGUUCCGUAAACAGUUGAGAACAUGUAGAACUCAAAUGUAUAGCCAACUUAACUGGAGUGGGCACAGAAAAGUCAACAUGAUAGGUUAUAAACCUCAAGUCGUGUGCUAGUGAAGAACUUCAGGUUUUAUUCAUGAUUAGUUCUUGAGAAUUUCAAAACCUUAAAGACUCCCACUGUCCUCUUGACAUAUCAGACUCUCUUGUCAAAUAUUCAAGAGAUAAUGUGGAUUCUAAUCACGACAAAUACUUCACACAAUUGGCCUUAGUUGGUCUUUGUUUUAUCCAAAACAUCACAACUUACCAAUUUCAAAUGUACAAGAGUAUAAAACUUUUACUCUUACAUUUGACAAGUGUUUUAAACCUUCUUUAAGACAUGUCACUUAAGUUACAUUCUUAGAUUAUAACUCUAAGAAAUAUCUUUGGAACGAAGUAUGAAUCAUCUUCUUGAUUUAACCACUUCAACAAUUCAUAGCUCCUCUUCUUAGCUAUCAGAAUGCACUUAGAGGAUGAAUUGUGAUAAGGUCUAUAAAUCAUUAAGAUGAUCAUAUAACAUGAUACUGAAGUACUCUCCCAUCUUUUCAGAUUUGAGAAACUUUUAUCUUUCUACCAAAUUUGAUUCGUCUCAUUCGUUCUGCCAUACAUUGAAGCAUUUUCAAUGUUUCAUAAUUAUACUUAAACUUGUAAGUAUAACCAUAUUUACUAAGCUUUAGUAAAUCAUGACGAAUAUUCUUUGUGGUGGACCUGACCAACACAUACCCAAGUGUACCCGAUCCCUUUGUCCUUCCCUUGACUAAUAUAUACAUGUGAACAAGGAAUUAGUCUUAAUUUUCCAAAGAUGAAAAUUCUCAUUCAUCAUACUAUACAACUUGAAUGAUUCCAAGCUUCGGUCCAAUUUAAACUUGGGUGAUGAGAAUAUUUGCUUAUUUGGUAAAAUUAGACACUACCACAGACGAAAGAAUCAAAUCCAUUUUCAAUAUUGCUGUCAAUGGAAUCUUAUAAGCAACAAUUUGUCCACAAAUGCCAUUGUAAGGAUACUUAAAAUAAAUGAAAUAAAAAAAAUUUCCUUUUAUUUUAAAACUUUGCGGAAAACCUUAUCCUUACAAUCCGUAUGAAAACCUUGUUGUUAUCUAUACCUAAGCAAUAUAUCAUAACUCUUAAGCAACAGCUCAAAAAUUCUGAUCACCGAACCAUGCGAUUGAAAUCCAUCUUUGCAAUCAGAAUUAGCAUAUACUUCCUUUAAGUUUCUUUACUUUUCUUUGAUUCUUAAAACAUCAACAUGUGACCCAGUCACAUCAUGUAACAAGAAUCUCCAAGUAGGAACUUAAAAGAGUUAGACAAUGGACUUUACCUGAAAUAAAGUCAAAAAUAUUGACUUUACCAUCCUUAGGAAAGUUUGGCAGCUUCGUAACCAAAGCCCCUUCCUUUGGAAAUAGAAACAUAUGGACCCUUAGGUAAUAGUACAUGGGACUAUCUCAGACUUAGCCUUUCUAUUUACCAUUUGGUCAACCAAGUUGACUAUGGCCAAUCCCUUUCCAUUGGGAAUAGAAUGCUUUUAUGGAUUUCCUGUGUCAGUAUUGUCCCUUUCCAUAAAGUUUUGGGAAGUUGAUCUCCUAAUCAAAUUUGCUUUCCUAGCCUUCCAAAUUAUUGUUGAUUCAGCAGCACCAAGCAAAUAGAUAAGAUCAUUAAGGAUAUUGUCAUAGUCUGUUUCAUAGGAGUCCCAAAGGGACUCACUAUGUGACUUAGAAAGUGACUGAACCACCAACUUUCUCAAGACUUUGACACCCAACACUCCCGGCUUGUCAAUAUGUGACUUCAUCUCCAAGAUGCGACCACACAUAGACCUUGCAUGCCAAUAGGGCUAGAGUGACCUUGAACUUGUGGGAUAGGGAGAAUAAUUGAAUGAGGUGGAGGAAGUGAAGUUCCAAGAGAUUUGGGUAGAUCAUAGAUGUCUGAACUAGACAUCUUUUUGGGAGAUUUUCAAGAUAGUUUAUUUAAACUCCUUAAUAUAACACCCAAUAUGAAAUAUCAAGGCUAGGACCCAACACAAUAUUUUAUAACUUGGAAGAGGGAUGCCGAAUCCAAGCUAUAGAAUAUUUGAAGGUAGGUGAAUGACAAUUCACCAAUUUCCACCAUGAAAAAUGAAAUAAAUUAUUAGUUUUUUAAUUGGAUGUGAAACUCCUAGAUCUUUUGAGAUUCAUUAAACUAUUCAAUGGCAUGUUCCAAUCUUGAGUGUGCCCUUCAGAUUUUGUGACUGGGAUGCCGAGGAUCACAAAGCAAGGUGUGAAGUAACCAUGCAAAUUACUUGGUACCCUUAAGUGUUUACCCCUCAAUCGAUGUGCCGUUUAACCACACAGGCUCCAUCGAUACUAUGAUAAACAUUAAGUUACCCUUUACCUACCUUGUUUAAUACGAGUUAGUGUGCUGGUUAACCACACACGCUCCACUUACCGACUUAAACAAAGUGCAAAGUGUAAUUUCAUGGAUUAGCACCUUUUCCACAAAUUCCUAAGUAACUAAGAUUGGGUUUUUAUAAAAGGUUUAGUUACUUAGUAUUUAUCAUUAAUACUUUUAAUAAAGGGAAAAUUUAUAGUCUUUGUCCUACCCGUUCGGCUAACGACCCUCCACCAGUCAAGGAAGCGGUGGGUGAGAGUGGACACCUAUUAAACUGUCAUUUUAUAGCUAGUAACCUUAUACCCCUCUUAUAGACCAGCUUCGUGAAUGAGGCCUAUUAACG
RNAcentral lists this long non-coding RNA (7428 nucleotides) under Lactuca sativa (garden lettuce). RNAcentral describes it as "long non-coding RNA (LSAT_LNC000612)". Lineage: Eukaryota; Viridiplantae; Streptophyta; Magnoliopsida; Asterales; Asteraceae. The record is from RNAcentral.